RNAcentral lists this ribosomal RNA (903 nucleotides) under Leptosphaerulina rupestris. RNAcentral's name for it is "LSU rRNA". It matches the Rfam family "Eukaryotic large subunit ribosomal RNA", at positions 38 to 965 of the family's 3401-position model. Lineage: Eukaryota; Fungi; Ascomycota; Dothideomycetes; Pleosporales; Didymellaceae. The record is from RNAcentral.
GCAUAUCAAUAAGCGGAGGAAAAGAAACCAACAGGGAUUGCCCUAGUAACGGCGAGUGAAGCGGCAAUAGCUCAAAUUUGAAAUCUGGCGUCUUCGGCGUCCGAGUUGUAAUUUGUAGAGGAUGCUUCUGGGUAGCCACCGGUCUAAGUUCCUUGGAACAGGACGUCAUAGAGGGUGAGAAUCCCGUAUGCGACCGGACAGGCACCCUCCACGUAGCUCCUUCGACGAGUCGAGUUGUUUGGGAAUGCAGCUCUAAAUGGGAGGUAAAUUUCUUCUAAAGCUAAAUACUGGCCAGAGACCGAUAGCGCACAAGUAGAGUGAUCGAAAGAUGAAAAGCACUUUGGAAAGAGAGUUAAAAAGCACGUGAAAUUGUUGAAAGGGAAGCGUUUGCAACCAGACUUGCUCGCGGUGUUCCGCCGGUCUUCUGACCGGUUCACUCGCCGCGUUGCAGGCCAGCAUCGUCUGGGGCCGCCGGAUAAGACUUUGGGAAUGUAGCUCCUCUCGGGGAGUGUUAUAGCCCAUUGUGAUGCGGCGCGUCCCGGGCGAGGUCCGCGCUUCGGCUAGGAUGCUGGCGUAAUGGUUGUAAACGGCCCGUCUUGAAACACGGACCAAGGAGUCUAACAUCUAUGCGAGUGUUCGGGUGUCAAACCCCUACGCGUAAUGAAAGUGAACGGAGGUGGGAACUUUAUUGUGCACCAUCGACCGAUCCUGAUGUCUUCGGAUGGAUUUGAGUAAGAGCAUAGCUGUUGGGACCCGAAAGAUGGUGAACUAUGCCUGAAUAGGGUGAAGCCAGAGGAAACUCUGGUGGAGGCUCGCAGCGGUUCUGACGUGCAAAUCGAUCGUCAAAUUUGGGUAUAGGGGCGAAAGACUAAUCGAACCAUCUAGUAGCUGGUUCCUGCCGAA